This 498-nucleotide ribosomal RNA is filed under the name Triticum aestivum (bread wheat). RNAcentral's name for it is "partial small subunit ribosomal RNA". Lineage: Eukaryota; Viridiplantae; Streptophyta; Magnoliopsida; Poales; Poaceae. The record is from RNAcentral.
AUGUCGACCUCCACCGCCGUAGUGUCCUCCGGCCUCAACAACAAUGUUUCAGAACCUCUCACCAGAUCGAACUAUGUUCUCUGACGUGCUCAAGCCCGCUCCCAGAUCAUGGGGGCCGGUCUCUUUGGAUACCUUGACAAAACCACCGCCGAACCAGAAAAAACCCUAGUCAGCAAAACCUCCGAGGGCAAAGAUCAGGUCAUUCCUAACCCUGCUUAUGCUUCUUGGUUGAUCCAGGAUCAACAAAUCAUCGCCUACCUACUCCGCAAUCUCUCCAAGGAGGUGCUAGUUCAGGUUGCUUCCCUAGAUACAUCUCAUGCAAUCUGGACAGCCCUUGCCAAUAUGUUUUCCGCCCAAUCCCGCUCCAAAGCAAACCACGUUCGCAUCUCCCUCACCACCGCCCAGAAAGGAACCCAAUCUGCCGCCACAUACUUUGGUCACAUGCGAGGUCUUGUCGAUGAGUUAGCUGCAGCCGGCAAACCUAUCACAGAAAAUUAA